Molecule: non-coding RNA, 1366 nt
Organism: Octodon degus (degu)
Lineage: Eukaryota; Metazoa; Chordata; Mammalia; Rodentia; Octodontidae
Source: the annotation of a RefSeq genome assembly
AUGGUGGUGCAGUCGCCCCAGCAUGUGAAUCUCGACCUCCAUCUCAUGCUACUUUUGACAGAGUUCCAGCCCUGUCUGUGGGCUGAGAGGACACCAGCUAUGUCACCCCCAUCUCAGAAGGAUAUAGAGUUUCUCGGGAAGCGGCCACUUUGCACUGGGGCAGUGGAACAAAAUGAUAUAUCAAUGUCCAGAGCAAGAGAAAAGACUGCCCACUCAUCUUGUAACACAUCCAUUGUAAACUUUGACAACUUGCCUAUACACUGGUACCGGCUAGAGCCAAAUCAGCAUUUUGAGUAUCUCUUAUAUGUCCUGGCAGUUCCCAAUCAAAGUGGGAGUAAGUUUGAGGCAAGUAAAGAUUCUUGCACUUCCAUGUCCAUGUUGAAAAUAAAUUUCUUGGAGAAAGAAGGUGAGGCCACAUAUUACUGUGUAUACUGGAAGCAGCACAGUUGGAUCAAGAUAUUUGGAGAAGGGACAAAGCUCAUUGUAACUUCCCCAGGUGAACGCUUUAGCAACGGUAUUUCCCCCAAGCCCACUAUUUUUCUUCCUUCAGUGCCUGAAACAAACCUCCAUGAGGCUGGAACGUAUCUUUGUCUUCUGGAGAAUUUUUUCCCUGAUGUUAUUAAGGUAUAUUGGCAGAGAGCAGACGACAAUAGAAUUCUGGAAUCUCAGCAGGGAGAUACCAUGAAGACUAACGACACCUACAUGAAGUUUAGCUGGUUAACUGUGACUGGAGAUUCCAUGACUAAGGAGCACAAAUGUAUUGUCAGACAUGAGGCUAAUGAAGGAGUUGAUCAACAGAUUCUCUUUCGUCCCAUAAAGCAAGCUGUCACUAUUGAUUCUGAACCUUGUUUCAAACAUGAAACUGGCUUGCUACGCCUGCAGUUCACCAGCACCUCGGCCUACUACACCUACCUGCUGCUGCUGCUCAAGAGCGCCCUCCACGGGGCUCUGGUUGUCUUCUGCCUGCUUCGAAGGCUCCGGGUCUGCUGUGACCAGAAGAGCUCCUAAGAGUGGAGGUGUAAGUGUUGGCUCUGUCUUCAGCGUUUCCAGGUCCCAGCAACGUUUGCUGAGGGUCUGCCUGGCUGGUGGAGAUUGUUCUACUGUAGGACCCUUGCCCAGUCUUUGUCAUUAUCACAAACGAUAGGCAAACUCCGCGACUUUUAGCUGUCAGCGCCGCCUGAGCCCCGUCCCCCUACGGUUCCCACAACCAUUGCAGCCAGCCAAGGCCCCACAGCCUUGGUGCACACAGCUCCUGCUUCUGGCCAGGGCCUCAGUGACCAUGGACUGGGCCACCCUGGAAGCUCUACCCACCUGGACACAUCCUCUUUGCCCCUGAGCUUCGCUUUUUCAUAGUAGACGCAAUGAA